Long non-coding RNA from Aegilops tauschii subsp. strangulata, 1164 nucleotides. RefSeq lists it as uncharacterized. Lineage: Eukaryota; Viridiplantae; Streptophyta; Magnoliopsida; Poales; Poaceae. The record is from RefSeq and is a predicted model, not a curated record.
GAAACUGCUGAUGAGGAAUUCGGGUCACCUUCGUCCAUCUCAGCGAGUUUGACAAAAAUGGGCUAUCCAUAGUAAUGGAAACAUUACACGCAUGUACCUCGGCUUCCCUGCAGCACGAUGACAGUGGUUUAGCCACAUCCUUGGUAGUGGUGGCUACAUCAUCCUUGGUUCUGGUGGACGCCACCACCCAAGACCAAGCCGCUUCCUCCACAAUCACACGCCGGGAGAGAAAGAGAACGUGAUACUUCCUUUUCCCUGUUCGCAGUGACCCUCGUAGCGUUCUAAUAUGAAGAAAUAUGGGCUCCCGCGGUUUUCAAGGGGGUUUUGUUUAGGACAGCCACGCAGCAGAAUGAACAAACACUACUACUUCUGCAAAAGUGACAUUCAAGAGCUAUUUAGUCUCAAUGCUUGCUGUACAUACAAAGUUUUCAUUUUUCCUAACACGAAAGCAAUUGCAAGAAGAGCAUGAACAGGAGCUUGUCAUAUAAGAACCGUCCGCUGCGGAGGAUGAGCUGCGGCGAGCAGCACAGGAGGUGGAUGGAUACAGGACCGGCCGCUGAGGAAGGAUUCGCUGCCUGCCUAACCAACGCCGCUCUCAUGCCUGCCUUGGGUGGGGUUCAGCCAUCUUCUUGUUCGCCCAGCACAAGCACCAUCUUCUUGUUUGCCCAGCACAAGCACCAUCGGAGGUGGUGAAGACCAGCAGUUGCGGAUCCUCCUUGUACAAGGUGAGGAGCAUGGCACCCUUGACAACAAGGAGGGUGCGGAUGUCGCUCGCUGGUAGCGCAAGAGCACUAUGGAGAUGUCCUUCCGCUAAUUCCUACACAUAGAGGAUGCUUGUACGAUAUCUGAAGGAUGCACAGAGAGCUUCAACUUAUUUAGCUGCACAUGGUUACAACAUAAGCACCAAUGAUGUUGUUGUUGGCCAGGAGCCAGGUGCUCUUGAAGCUUUGGUGCAACUAACACAUUCUGCCAAUGAAGUUGUCAGGUAUAAUUCUGCUUUUGUCGAGCGACCAUUGACUUGUGCCAAGCUUUUGAACUACAUGCCACAAACUUCAAACUACAACAACUGGGUAAUUGUUUUUUCAUGCUUCAAUUAGACAAGAAGCUGUUGAUGGUGUUGUGGUACUUGUCGUUUGACAAUAGAGAUCGUGAUUCCAUAGUUUC